RNAcentral lists this small RNA (632 nucleotides) under Bacillus solimangrovi. Lineage: Bacteria; Bacillati; Bacillota; Bacilli; Caryophanales; Bacillaceae. The record is from RNAcentral.
AAUUAUCAAUUCAAGGGUGGUGCAGUAUUCUAGUCAGUCUACUAUUUCUGAAGGCGGGCCUAAAAAUCCGCUAAAGGGCACAUCGAUGAAGUUCCUUGUGCCGGCUUGAGGCGCCCAGCCUUGGGUCGGUGCUGGGAGUUAAGGUCGCAGGGCGAUCCACAAUGGCAUGUGGGCGUUGACCCUGCUUCCGCGGAGGCCCAUUCUUGUAGGUAUUGCGCUAGCAUGUGCAGCUUAUGAAAUGGGGUAUGAACCUGCGAUGAAAAGUUUAUAUGGGAAACUUUCAAGCAGCGUAGCCUGCCUUGAGUGGUGUUAGAGGGGAUUAUGGCAUAAAAAUGAAUUGUACAGUAGGCCACUGUCUUUCAUUUUUCGACAUAUGAAAUCUACUCUGCAAAAGAGGCUAGGAAAUAGUUAAAGCCUGUUGAGGAAAACUCCUAGACUGUUCUAAUUCGGACAUAUAAAGAGGAUUAUAGUGCGGAUCUAAGUGGCAAUCCAGUCCAGCUGGAGGUGACUCGGCUGAGGUGAGUUUAAAGGGAAACCGCCAGAGCGGCGACGCUCGGUACUUGCUUGGGAAAACCUACUGGACCUAAGCCGCAGUUUUUACUCUUUAUAUGACCACCCUGUUAUACAUAAUU